This 1529-nucleotide long non-coding RNA is filed under the name Oryzias sinensis (Chinese medaka). Its description in RNAcentral is "lncRNA (ENSOSIG00000010714.1)". Lineage: Eukaryota; Metazoa; Chordata; Actinopteri; Beloniformes; Adrianichthyidae. The record is from RNAcentral.
AUGGCGUGGAAGGCGUUCUCCAACGCCAGCAGGCUGGAGGAGCAGGCGGUGUCUAUGGCUGUGCUGGGACCUGAGGACCAAGAGAGGAGCAUCACUACAGAGCAACAGCUGCUGAUGUGGGAGAACGCCGCGGCGUCUUCUCAGAAAACAACCGAGGCUUGUUUCCCGCGUAGAGUCCUAACCUCUGCAGGAACGAAGCUCUGCGACUCCAUGAAGGCCUCAGCCAAUCAGCUUUCAGUGAUUCAGGUGGUCUGGCAGAGAUGCCCUUCCAGACAACCCUGAGUUUUAUCCGGGCCAGGGGGGACCCGGACAAGGGCCCCCUCAUGACUACAUGGUUAGCCAGUGGGAAUCAAACCCUGGUUACCUAUGCGUCAGUCCUACACUUAACUGACAAUUCAAAGGGUGUAACAGACUGUUGUUGCUUUAAUAUUUUUUUUUUAAGGGAUAAAAGCACUUUCGAAACAUUUCAGUAUUCUGAUGCUGACUACCACAAAAAACAGACUAACUGAAAUCCCAAAACUGUGUCUUUGGUCACAGACUCCAGAUAAUGAACUCGUUGAGCAGGCAGGAAAAAAAAUUGACCAGUAAUUCAGAUUUGAAGUAUCGGCAUGCCUUCCAAGGUCUUCUGUUUGGUCAGACAUUUUUGGCUAUGAAACUGCACUGAAUCUUCUAAAACCCUCAGAAAAUCUCCUCAAUGAACGACGUUACAGCCUCCAGAUUUUCUAAACUUUCCCUGAAAUCAGCAGCUGUUCGGACAGACAUUUGCAAUCAGACUAAAAUCCUUCAGAAGAGAAACCAGACACUAACAGAGGUGAAGGUUGUCCAGGGAAUUAAGAAAUGGAGCAAUGAAUAGACUCUGGCAGACUUUUUAUGGGUUUUUUCUAAAAUCAUUUUGGGAAAAUAAAUUAACAACAAACUUUAACCCAUUUGAAACAUUUACAACCAAACUGUUGUCCACAAGUCAAAUGACUGGAGAAAACCUCCAUUCUUUUCACUCAAUUAAAAAUGUGAAGAAGUAGUGAUUUAAAGGUUGGAUUUUUUUAACAUCAUUUGAGGCUUUUUGCAAACGCACCAGUAAAGAAAACCUUCGCUUUCACAUUUCUAGUUUCUUUUCUUCAACCCUGAAGAUCCACUUUUUCAUUUUAAUGCAAUUACGAAAUCAACGUCUGGGAACAAGGAAAGGGCUACGACCAGUCAGAAUGCUCAAUAAAUGUAUCUUUAUCUUUAUAACGGUAUCAAGCUGUGCAAAAGACAGUGAAAAUUAGAGCUGUGACGGUGUAGGAUUUUUGAUCCCGGUUGACAGCGGUGAUGCAGAUAUCGUCACACCCCUAGCGACAAUUGCUAUGAUUGGUUACCGUAUUUUCCGGACUAUAAGUCGCUCCGGAGUAUAAGUCGCACCAGCCCAAAAAUGCAUUAUAAAGUAGAAAAAACCACAGAUAAGUCGCACUGGACUAUAAGUCGCAUUUUGACGGGGAUUUUGACAAAAUCUGAGACCAAGAACUAAUAAGUUCCACAUCCUCAUAUGACAC